CACGUCAGCGCGCUUUGCUGACGUGGACACAAAUUGCGUCCAUGUAAGUGCGAUUUGUUGCCACGUCAGCAAAGCGCGCUGCUGUGG
Molecule: non-coding RNA, 87 nt
Organism: Gossypium raimondii (Peruvian cotton)
Lineage: Eukaryota; Viridiplantae; Streptophyta; Magnoliopsida; Malvales; Malvaceae
Source: Rfam